RNAcentral lists this long non-coding RNA (281 nucleotides) under Homo sapiens (human). RNAcentral describes it as "HSALNT0365761". The record is from RNAcentral. Lineage: Eukaryota; Metazoa; Chordata; Mammalia; Primates; Hominidae.
AUCAAUGUCUGCUAUGUGCCGUUGUCAUCAUCUCACAGCUGUACUUAUCGUCAGCAGAGGCCCUAGGAAGCUGACCAGCAGAGCAUCAGUACGCAACAGCGGAAUGUGGUCAUGAUGGCUGAGGAUAGAGGUGGAACAGGUGCCAUGCUGCUAUCACAAGACGGAGACCACAUACUCUAAGAAUGCUGAACAGAAAAAUAAAAGGAGUCUGAGUCCCUGAUGACAUAAUAGAGCUACCAUAACCACCAUGGAUAUUGUCUAGGUGCUUUGUAAUAUAAAAA